CCUUUCUGGGGAACCAGUUUUCAGUCCUCUGAGAAACACCACUGUGUGCCUUUAAGAAGCAACAGAAACUUGAUAGCAUAAGAACUGACCUAAUUUCUGGCUGUGCUGGUGCCUUGUGCUUAAUAGCUGCCAUCUUCCUGGUACUCUCCCCUGGGCCAGGAUUCUGAGUGCCCCACACCCAGUGCCCCACACCUGCGUCUGAUGCUUCUGGGAAGCCAAAGUGUGGAUAAGAUUUGGGCAGGUGCCCAUCAGCACCACAGCCUUGCCUCAGGUGGACAUGCGGAUCCGCUGCAUCUGCUUGGAGCCCGUGUCGUCUCCUCUCACGGUGGAGCAUUUUGGAUCAUCAUCCAAAAGUUGGACGAUCUUAACGAAGUAGUUGGAUUUCCAGGUCUCCCUCCCUGUGCUCCACGGAUCGUCACACAGGGUUUAAAGAUGGUGUCACUCUCACGCCUGUCUUUGCUGCCACCUCUGCUGCUCCUACUGCUGCAGCUGCCCCGGGUUGAAGCCAAGGAAGACUCGAAGGAGUCUGAUGAGGAUAUGGGAUUUGGUCUCUUUGACUGAUCACCAAAACAACUACUCAGCUGGCCUGAUUGGCAAAGCAAGGAAUAAAGGCGUAA
RNAcentral lists this long non-coding RNA (617 nucleotides) under Fukomys damarensis (Damara mole-rat). RNAcentral's name for it is "lncRNA (ENSFDAG00000032367.1)". Lineage: Eukaryota; Metazoa; Chordata; Mammalia; Rodentia; Bathyergidae. The record is from RNAcentral.